AUUGAAUUGCUGAAACUGCUCUUGGCACUGGUAGAAUUCACUGCUAAAAAAUACUCCAGUGAUUCACCGGUUCCAAACUCGGUUAGCACAAUACAUCAAAG
Molecule: microRNA precursor, 101 nt
Filed under: Lottia gigantea (owl limpet)
Lineage: Eukaryota; Metazoa; Mollusca; Gastropoda; Lottiidae
Description: microRNA lgi-mir-263a precursor
Gene: lgi-mir-263a
Source: miRBase by way of RNAcentral